Odocoileus virginianus texanus is the source of this 577-nucleotide non-coding RNA. The record is from RefSeq and is a predicted model, not a curated record. NCBI's taxonomy places the organism in Eukaryota, Metazoa, Chordata, Mammalia, Artiodactyla, Cervidae.
CCCUCUGUCCUGUCCUCCAUGAGCUUGGAAGAAAUGGUGAUGGUCCCUAAGAGGAAAGAAAUCUCAGUCCCUGAAAGACUGUAACCCGUAUUGAGGAGCCACAUGAUAAGAUGAGGACAAUUGUACUGAUAUCCCUACUUCGCAGAAUCCUUCUGACGUUUGCAUGAGGCAGCCCACAGUGAAGUCAUUCACAGCCUGGAUGCUGGAGCUAGAUUGCUGGGUUCGAAUCCUGAUUGCUGUUGUUGUUUAGUUGCUAAGUCAUGUCUGACUCCUUGCAGCUCCAUGGACUGCAGCACACAAGGCUUUCCUGUCCUUUACUAUCUCCCAGAGUUUGCUCAAACUCAUGUUCAUUGAGUCAGUGAUGCCGCCAUCUCAAAUCCUGAUUGGACCACAUACUAUCUACAUGUUCUCUCUCACUUUCCUAUUCUGUAAAUUGAAGGCAAUAAUGCUAUCUGUCUUGUGGGAUCUUUGUGAAGACUCAACAAGUUAAUAUUUGUCAGGUGCUUUUUCUACUACUUGAUUUAUUGUAAGUGCCAUGGAGAUUUUUGUUAAAUAAAUGCAAGUAUUUGGCAAUACA